GAUGAACGCUAGCGGCAGGCCUAAUACAUGCAAGUCGAGCGAACAGACCAUUAGCGUGCUCCACUCACCUUACCGGCGGGCAACGGGUUAACAACUUAAUAACCACACGGUGAUACUCGGAUAACAUCUGGAAACCUAACCUAAUACCUUAUAAUAUGGUAUACCUCGAUAUUCAAUACUGAAAUGGUGUUUUAUGGGCACGCGUACAAUUAGCCAGUUGGAGUGGUCACGGCACUCCAAGGCUACGAUAGGUAGGGGUCCUGAGAGGGAGAUCCCCCACACUGGUACUGCGACAGAGACCAGACUCCUACGGGAGGCAGCAGUAUGGAAUAUUAUGCAAUGGUCGGAAGACUGAACCAGCCAUGCCGCGUGCAGGAAGAAUGCCUUAUGGGUUGUAAGCUGCUUUUAUAUAGGAAGAAUAAGGCGUACGUGUACGUUGAUGACGGUACCAUAUGAAUAAGCAUCGGCUAACUCCGUG
This 478-nucleotide ribosomal RNA is filed under the name uncultured bacterium. RNAcentral's name for it is "partial 16S ribosomal RNA". It matches the Rfam family "Bacterial small subunit ribosomal RNA", at positions 28 to 507 of the family's 1533-position model. The record is from RNAcentral.